This 206-nucleotide long non-coding RNA is filed under the name Homo sapiens (human). Its description in RNAcentral is "HSALNT0321525". Lineage: Eukaryota; Metazoa; Chordata; Mammalia; Primates; Hominidae. The record is from RNAcentral.
GGUAUUCUAGAACACUCCUUUCACUGUAUUCCUGAGCACCCAAUAAAUCACUUUUCUGCUUCCCUUAGACCGGUGUGGUGGCUCAUGCUUGUAAUCCCAGCACUUUGGGAGACCGAGCUUCUCAGCAGGCUGGAAUGGGACUAUAACUGAUAUAUCAUGACCACACCAACUGAGGGUGUGGAGUAGGUCACCCAUUGGGGAUGGAA